This is a non-coding RNA of Phalacrocorax carbo (great cormorant), 1964 nucleotides long. The record is from RefSeq and is a predicted model, not a curated record. NCBI's taxonomy places the organism in Eukaryota, Metazoa, Chordata, Aves, Suliformes, Phalacrocoracidae.
UGUGUGAACUGGCUCUGCCUGCUUGUUCCUCCAUUUGCUGUUCCAAGCUAUUCGGGUUCCUUGUUCACUGCUCUGUUUGCUGUCUGAGAGCCCAGGAUGAAGCAGAAAGCUGGAUGUGAAGGAUGAGGCAUACUUGAAUCUUAUCUUGAUGUGGAUCUCAACAGAUAAAUCUAGCCCGUGAAUCUCUCCAAACUGCACUUCCAUCUGGAUUACAUACAACUGUUUUCAGUCUUGUGGUGACACUCCCAGAAGAGCAGAGUGUGGAAGGAUGGAGCAUCUGGCAGACACCAACUAACUAGUCCGCUUAGGGAUCACAUUGCCAGUUUUGAAGGAGCCUGAGGCAGCAGGAAAGUCACCUUCAUUUCUGUGGUACAAGAAGAGCACGCUGACAUUACUCACAACUCUGGAAUUGGUCAUCUUUCUGAACAGUGGAUCUGAGCCUCGGUCCCUAUGCAGGCCAAAUACCAAGACAGGAACAAUUCCUCUUGAAUAAGUACAUCUCAAAGAAAGAAAAAGUCUUGUUCUCCAAACAUUUCUAUAAUUGAUAUUUAUGUGUUUAUAUGUGAGCUUUUAUGGCCAUCCUGAAAAGAAUUAUUGGGUAUUUUUCUACAGAUAUUUUCAUACAUGUCUGGAAGUCAGACACUUUCAGAGUGGGUGGUAGAUGAGAUUUAAUGGAGCAUGGCAAGAAAAGACAGAAAGCAAAGAAUACCAGAUAAGCUGUAAAUUAUGGGGAUAAGAAAUGUAUAUUUAUUCCAGAUUGACUCAACAACUAUAUAAUUUUAGAUGAUAUAUUGAGUUUGAGCUGACUAUCUCCCAAAUGAAAGGAGUAAGUCUCUAUGGCUUGAGCUCAAAACUGUAGGCUCCUUUACUGGGACAGUAAUAGGAUCAUAUCCUUUGUGGUUCAGGCAUGGGGGAGAAGAAGAGGGAAACUGAUCUCUACAAAUGUUCUGUGCAAAAGAUUAUUCCACACAGUGUUUGCUGGAAACAGCCUACGGGCUGGAGCUGCUGGGGAGGUCAUACGGGUUUCCAAUUCAAUGUUUCUGCUCCAGAUUGCCAAAGCAGUUGAGUGACUGAGCUUUAACUUGGAUCCGUGAAUAAUAGUCUCCAAAGGACUUUAUAUUGCCUGGGGAUGCCAGGGUCCUUGGCACCUGGAGACUUAUAUUCUUCUGUCCCAGUGCACCCUAUGGACAUUAGGAGGGGACAGUUUUACCAUUGGUCUGCUGGAGACUCUUUCAUAUGAGGAACAGAAGUUACCCUUGGAAGCUGGAACCAUCACUACUAAAUACCAAACCAUCUAAAGAGCUACAAUAGAGAGCUUCUCUGAACAGACGUAUUUUUAGCUGUUCAUUCCAACUGUGGUGAAAUUAUGCUAUGCAGAAGCAUUACUUAAUCAGGUUUGAUUGUAGCCACAGCACAAUUUAGUCUCUUUCAUAUACUGCCGCCUAGUCUAGACUACUAGCUCACACAAUAUUAAUGCGAUACAGAUUAAAAGAAUGUUGUUGGAAAAUACUGAAAGCAAUCCUUGUUUAUGUUCCACUCCUACUAAAACUGAAAUUAAAAUGUCUAUUCUUCAUCUACUGAAUAGUCACUUCAAUAGUAUUCAUUUAAAGUCGCCUAAAAAUUCUUAGAUUAACAUUCUGCAGUUGUAGGUUAAAGAGAAAGGGAUUUAAUUAUGCUAUUUUCCUGAACUGAGAAACUACUGCAUGAAAUUUCUGUUGGGAUAGAAGGGAAAGAAAUUAAUAGAUUCCCUUGUGUUUAUUAUGGGUUUUGUUCUCUUUCCAUGAAUAUUCUAGGAAGCAAGAUAACAGAAAGUGACUUUCAUAUAAAUCUUGAGUAAUAUUCAUGAGAAACUGAUUUUGAAUUCUGAACAGCAAAUAUCCAUACAAGGAACAUGAUUCUGUAAGAAAAGAGCCCUCUUUCCAGUGCAUUUUAUUCUGUGAGACAGAUUAUGUAUUUGUGCUUAU